AACGCACGAGACCUGCGGACCUGCGGAAGGAUCAUUAUAGAAUCACAAUUAUUUGAGAGUUGUCGUUUCUUUCCUGGGUUGUUUCUCGAGAGGGAGAUGAUUUGGGGGAGAGAGGAUGGCUCUCAUUUACAAACAAACGAUCACAACUAUUAUGCUGUGCUGUGCUGCUUUUCGCUGUGGUGAUGAGCGCGCUUGUGCAUGCAGAACCACAUUGGAGGGGGUUGUCUGGUUUCUGACAAC
This 240-nucleotide unclassified non-coding RNA is filed under the name soil metagenome. Its description in RNAcentral is "partial contains 5.8S ribosomal RNA, internal transcribed spacer 2, and large subunit ribosomal RNA". The record is from RNAcentral.